This is a long non-coding RNA of Scylla paramamosain (green mud crab), 1315 nucleotides long. RefSeq lists it as uncharacterized. NCBI's taxonomy places the organism in Eukaryota, Metazoa, Arthropoda, Malacostraca, Decapoda, Portunidae. The record is from RefSeq and is a predicted model, not a curated record. The transcript has 9 exons.
CGUCUGCUGAAAUAAGUUGUACCCCAGCAGGCCCCUCUUCAGGUCCAGCGGGUUCUCUGGACCUAUGCAAGCAAGUGUCAGCAGAGUCUUCAAGUGUGUGUGUGCACCGUGUUGAGUGAUAAGUCAGUGCAGGAAAUCAAGAUGCCUCCAACACACCUUGAUCAAAGGAGAACUGCACACCAGUUCUUCAGGAUUAAAAAUUUCCUAACGGUUAUUGGGGCCAUUGAUGGCAGCCACAUUACCAUGAAGGAGCAAAGUGUGGAUGAGGCCCUCUACUUGAACUGGAAAAGGUAUCACUCCCUCUGAACAUCCAACUUGUUUGUGAUGCAAGUGAAGUGAUCCUCAGCUACUGCUCCAGAUUGCCAGGUGCCUGCACUCUUGUGGAGGUGGCUUGCAGUACAGACCCAUCAAGUGUGUCAAAAUAAUUAAUACUUGCCUGCUCCUACACAACUGCUGCAUCAAGUUCCUGAUGACAUAUCUACCACCUCUUGAGGAUGAAACAGUGCCCCAUGCUGAUACCAACCCUGCUGUGCUGUCGAGGGAUCAGUGUGCUUCAGGCAGAAUUGUGUAGCAAGAAAUCAUACAAAACUUCUUCCAGCACUGAAGUAAGGAAGUGAGAUUGUCAAAGUGCCUGGGACAUGUUUUGUACAGCCAGCUGCACCAUCACCAGCUCGUCCAUACUCCGACUAAUCUGCUGUUGGGUUUCCUGUGCUUGAGAGAGAACUUCCAAGUCAGAGUGGCCAUCUGAAAUACAGUUUAGAAGCAAACAUGACUACACCUCAAGUUACAAAUGCAGAUGAUACACCAUUGUCAAAUCCAGAGGCCCCUGUGGACCCAGCGACACCAGCAGAAGAGGGUUGGAUGGCUCCAACACCACUGCUGGUGGAAGGCUGUGGUCCUAGAGGCCCUGACACUUCUGGAGAAAAAAAAAAAAAAAAAAAGCUGUCAUUACUGCAGGGUAUGGCAGUCCUGCAAAUGUUGUGUGAGACAACAUCCACAGCAUGACCAACUCCACAGCAGUGUGUGUUGUCUCAUCUGGAGGCCCCCACCUGCAUGGAUAUGAAUGUUGCAAUUAUCACCCACUUAGAAGUUCACAUGUAAAGCCAAAUCAACUUGGUGUAAAUCAUGAAUGCAUUAGAGCACAAUAAUGUUAUCUAGCACUGCAGUGGUCAUUGUCUCAGACCUGACUGCCAGAGGUACUGUACAUACUCCUAUUUAUAAUCCAUUGCUUAGUUGGUUCUUGGUUAUGUUUAUUGACUAUAUGGGUAAAUUUUGUAACAGCACCAAUAAUUAAAUACAUGUACACAAGAGCAAA